UGAUAUUUCACUCUGAGCCCGAGUGAGGUGAGCUUUUCUCUCUCUUUUCCUCGGUCUAAAUAAUCUUAUAUCGGUUCUAAAACCCGGAAUCUGGAAGUGGAAGUGAAAAGUAAAAGCGCAGUCUGCAUCCAUAUCCGAGAGCUCCUCAAUUGAAGGGGCUAAAGCUUGAAAAACAAUACAAAUGUUCGGUCGAAGCAGGUUCCUCUCUCUUCCCAUGGUAAUUGGAGCUGUCAUAAUUGGAGUUGUUUCUGGAAAGGCAAUAUUUGGACCUCCACUUGAUGAAUACUGGAAAAAGAAGCUUCAGGAGGAGGCAGCAGCUGCAAAGGAGACUGAUGAAAGAUCAAGUUAGCAUUAUGGUGAAGCUUCUCAUUUUUUAUCAUCGCAUAAAGAUUCAAAGUCAGGGCUCACUUUUCCAGCUUUUUUUUUUAAGGAGGCUUAAGCGGAAUCGUAUGUUUGCUACCCUUGAAUUUUUUAUUUUUUAUUUUUAGAAAUUGGAACGCGGCAAAGCCAUAUUCAUAGGGUCCCAGAAUACUUGUGGAAUUGUGGAAAGGUAAAGUGAGUAAUUCCCGACUUUCUGCUUAAGGAGAAAAUACGCAAGUUUUUUAUUUUGCUCAAAUUUUUUUUUUUUUAUCUGCAAUGAAACACUAGUAGAAAUUCGAAUAUCUCAUCCAAAUUAUGCCA
This is a long non-coding RNA of Juglans microcarpa x Juglans regia, 681 nucleotides long. RefSeq lists it as uncharacterized. NCBI's taxonomy places the organism in Eukaryota, Viridiplantae, Streptophyta, Magnoliopsida, Fagales, Juglandaceae. The transcript has 2 exons. The record is from RefSeq and is a predicted model, not a curated record.